GAUGAACGCUAGCUACAGGCUUAACACAUGCAAGUCGAGGGGCAGCGGGAUUGAAGCUUGCUUCAAUUGCCGGCGACCGGCGCACGGGUGAGUAACGCGUAUCCAACCUUCCGUACACUCAGGGAUAGCCUUUCGAAAGAAAGAUUAAUACCUGAUGGUAUGAUGAGAUUGCAUGAUAUCAUCAUUAAAGAUUUAUCGGUGUACGAUGGGGAUGCGUUCCAUUAGGUAGUAGGCGGGGUAACGGCCCACCUAGCCAACGAUGGAUAGGGGUUCUGAGAGGAAGGUCCCCCACAUUGGAACUGAGACACGGUCCAAACUCCUACGGGAGGCAGCAGUGAGGAAUAUUGGUCAAUGGACGAGAGUCUGAACCAGCCAAGUAGCGUGAAGGAUGAAGGUCCUACGGAUUGUAAACUUCUUUUAUAAGGGAAUAAACCCUCCCACGUGUGGGAGCUUGUAUGUACCUUAGGAAUAAGCAUCGGCUAACUCCGU
Molecule: ribosomal RNA, 489 nt
Filed under: uncultured bacterium
Lineage: Bacteria
Description: partial 16S ribosomal RNA
Rfam family: Bacterial small subunit ribosomal RNA
Source: RNAcentral